This 2903-nucleotide long non-coding RNA is filed under the name Zostera marina. RNAcentral describes it as "long non-coding RNA (ZMAR_LNC005798)". Lineage: Eukaryota; Viridiplantae; Streptophyta; Magnoliopsida; Alismatales; Zosteraceae. The record is from RNAcentral.
CCUUCCAUGUUUUUCGAAAUGGGCAGAGUGACCAUCACGACCACUGGUGGUAGAAUGACCAUCGCCACCAGUGGCGUUGCCAUUGACAUCAUCGCAGGCAGACGACUGAACCACACUAGCCAGUAUCUACAUCAAGGAAACCCAUUGGGAUACCUCUUCUUAUAAAGGCAUUUUCAGCAAUAUGAUGAGGCAAACAGGAUAUAGCCAGGCAAGAAAGAAGUGACAAUCAAGCAUCAUUAAUAGUGGUAGCCAAGAUUUGUAAUAAGGUAUAAAUAUUUACUUAUCAAACAAUCAUGGUAUCAUGCAAGUCAGUAUAUGCAUACAUAAAUAAAGACUAUCAUUCUUCUAUUCCUUUCAUGUUCUUCCUGAUUUAUAGUAUGGUAUAAAGUCUUAUGAAAUUAAGAGCAAUGUUGUUUGGAUAACUGGAAUUUACAUCUGGAAUCAGUUUGGAUAACUGUAGAAACUAGAAAGUUGUACUCUGAAGUUCCAUUACAAUGGAUCAACAAGAGAUUUUGUUGUUAGAUCUAACCCAACUAACAUACAAAAAAGUUUAAAAACCAAUUGUCUUCAAUUCAAAAGAAAAAUGCUAAUUACUCAAUAUUCAGAUGAUCUCAAAUGAAAAGGUCAUCCAUGAAAAGAAAAAUGAUCAGCUAUCACCGCCAAUUUGUCUCUUCCAAGAGUCUUCAACUAUGAGUUCGUCAACUCCCCAAUCCUCAUAACUGUUAAUCGCAAUAACAAUAGGUGGGAUGUUAAUUCAUUAAAGCAUCAAAGAAAAAAGGAAAAUAAAUUGAAUAUAAAUUGGUAUAUUGCAGACCUUCCAUCAGGCAAAUAACGUCGAAUGGUGAAAGGUAUUUUCCGCUGUCGAAGCUCCUUCAUUGCAAUCUGGAUUGGACAAAAUUGAGCGUUAAAUUUAAAUCAUAAUUGGUACAGAAAUUGGUGCUUUUUUAUUAGUGUCAUUCAUUCACAGUGAGUCGGUGACAGAUUUAUAAUUGACAAGAAUGAAAGGUUAACAGAUAAUUAUGGGAUUCUUGAAGGAUAAUACUUGCCUCCAGUGGAUCACUUUCGCCAGCCAACUCUACCAUCACAGGUGCAUUCAUGCUGCGCAAAAUUUGAAGGGAAAAAAGUUACUGAUGAGAUAACAAACAGACUUUAAUAAAAUUCAUGACAAACCUGAUCUGCACUGCUCGAGUACCUAAUAUCCUUGCUCUUUCGUACUUUGUCAUGUAUUUAGAUGUCUUUCUUUCUCUUUGAACCGGUACUGUGUCGGUUUUAUCUUCUUCGUCAACUAAAGCAUCUGGUACUUCAUUGUCAUUGUUGUCCACCUCUUCCAUCGCACCAUCCUGUUUAGUCACCAUACACAUGAAAAUAAAGAUUAAAUACUAUGACUGAAACUAGAAAGAGAGGAAAUGGGGGAAUCAAGUGAUCGACCCCUCUAAACAUACAUUAGAUGUGUUUAUAUACAAUUGAGUUUUAGAUUAGAUCUUAACUAAAUUCAUUUAAGUUCUAAUCUACACUAACUAAUUACAAUUAGCACAUAAGGACUAAAACGUGAUUAAAAACAAAUAAAGACAGAUAACAUUAUUUAUAUCACUAAUAAAUACAUCUCAACAUAAAUAAACGCAACAUACCAAAAAUAUUUCCCUUGCAAUUUGCAUGUUUUAAAAAAAACAAUUACCUCGAUUUCUGGCUCUGAUGGUUCAUCCUCGUAUCUGCAUUAUUUCAUUCAAUUCAGUGAUCCCCAUCAAUCAAACAAUAAAAAAACUCAUAUAUUCUAAAUGUAGAGAACAAACAAAGGCAAUAUCAUUCUAAGUUUCUAACAAGAGAUUAUCAGAUUGAAGGGACUCCUCAGAUAGCUUACACCCCUAACAUAGGAUAGACCCCUCAGAUAGGAUAUCCAUGGGGGGUAUUAUCAUUCUCCUCCAACUAGAGAAACUAGGGUUUGGGCAAAAAAUGCAAUUGCCUCAUAUUGUUAUGGUGUGUAUAUAAUACACUUGUAUGUAACCAACUCAUGAUUAUUUGAGUGAGGCUGGUUACAAGAAUAUUACAGUUAGAAUAUAUUAAAUAAUAAUAUUCCAAAAGAGACAACAAUUAAUAAUUAAAUAAAAUCUGUUAAUGUCAAAAUUCUUGUAAAAUCUACAAAUGUUAAUCAUGUUCAAGGUUUUAAAUGUGAGCGAUUUGGAAAAGAUGUGCUGUACGUAUUUCUUUAGAAAUUAGUCUUAGCAAGAACCUGAUUGGAUAUUGGCCCGAAUCUGCCUGUUUUUUCAAUUUUAAGUACUUUUAACAGAAUCACAAAUUAUGAUGGAUAGUUCUGAAUCACAAUUCUGUCGAACCGACGAAGUUCGCUGCAACAACCAGCUCCGCUGAGUAUACAAACCCUUUCCAUGGCCUCAUAAAUAUCAACACCCUAAAGAAAUCUUUAUUAUAAAAAGAUAAUUAAUGUAUAAAUCAAGAAAUUACCAAAAUAUCCCGAUACACGGGUGACUGGCUCCCUGCGCAUCCAUGUAUUUUAAUCCUUAUUCAUGUUUCAUAUUAUUGAAAUAAAUGAUGGUGAUCGCUUGAAUAAUGAAUAUCAAAUGGUCCCAUUAACAAAUAGUUCAUAUAUUAUUCAAAAAGAUUGAAUUUAAUGUUUUUAACUUUGAAAUUUUCAACAGACAGGUAUCGACCAAAAAUGAUCUGUCUGAAUUCUGAUGCAGUUUUCGGGGCAUUAAACUCUAAGGAAAUUCAUUUUUAUUAAACACAAACUUGUCAAAACAAUCAAACCAAAGGUACAUUAAGUACUUAUUUAUUUUAAAAGCAUCAAAUUUAAAUUUUGAUGUUUCUAAAAGACAGGUAUCACUUAUCAGCAAAAAAUGGCAUAUCUGAUGGAUUUUUCAUUGUUUUCUAAACAAUAAACUCAAUGAGAA